RNAcentral lists this long non-coding RNA (40843 nucleotides) under Gossypium raimondii (Peruvian cotton). RNAcentral's name for it is "long non-coding RNA (GRAI_LNC001788)". The stretch from base 25728 to 25810 matches the Rfam family "MIR8703 microRNA precursor family". Lineage: Eukaryota; Viridiplantae; Streptophyta; Magnoliopsida; Malvales; Malvaceae. The record is from RNAcentral.
AUUACUUCAAACACUAAUUUUGAAUUUCUAACAUUCACUCAUUUCCUUGUUUUCAUCAACCCGUAAAAUGAAGCAGCAAGUAGUUUUUGUCUUAGGCCUGCAAACUCUGAAUUGGAUAAUACAAUAAUAAUAAUAAAAUACAAGUUUUAAAAUUAAAUAUUUGCACACACGAUCACAAUUUAUUUCCCUUCAUAACCCCAAUUUUUGCAUGGCCCUCUUAUAGCAUAUACAUAUAGCUAUUAUGGUACAAAGGGGGGCAUAUACAUCAAAGUAUAUAUGACAUGAAACAUAUUGGUAUAUCAAAUAUUCUGGACAGUUCUGUUGGAUAUGGAAUAAUGGGAACUCUUGAUAGUACUUCAUAUACCUGCCAUGCAUUCCGGUGGGGUGACCGGGUACCGAGACUUGUCGGUGCAGUAAUCGUAGAUCAUGUGGUUCAUCCGAACCCAUCUGUAUCUCCUAGCUUCCAUGGCAUUAAGAGCUUGAUAAGCAGUACCUUCCCACCAGUUCCUAGGGUUACUAGCACAAUUUGCUGGCCCUGGAACUGGACACCCUUCAAUGUCAAAAUCCUUGUAAUAAGCCAAAAAUGGUGCUUUGCUCCAAUCAAUUUUCUCAAGUCCUCCCCUUGUUGCCCAAUCAUCAGCUUCCCAUAGUGUUGAAUAUACCCCCAUAGGUUGAAAUUUUGGGUAUGGGAUGUUUUUUGCUUCAUUGUUCUUGUAUACUCUUAUUGGCACUUCAUCUACAUAAAACCUGUUAAGAAAAAGCACCCAAAUGGUCAAAUUUUAAUGUCAUAUAUGCUUAUUAAUGUCACAUUUAUAGUUAGAUACUGGACUUACACAAUAUGAUGAUGGUUCCACAUAAUUGCGUAUGUAUGGAAAUCAGCAGCUGGAUCAAACCAGAGGUUAACCCUUUGUUCUCUAUCACCUUUACCAUGAGCAUAUAUGUUGGUUUGGACCGUGUAUGGUUGCCCGGUUCGGUUUCCCAAGAACUCGAAAUCUAGCUCGUCUCUUACGGUGUCCGUAUCAGAAUUCAUCUGCAAUACCAGAUUACAAUGAAAAACAGAUUAAAGGUUAAAGGUUAUGUCGGUAGGUAGCUUUACGUACGUAAAAGGCGGUGACGGUUCCGGCCGAGUCACCGGGGAUAAGCUUGAUCUUCAUGCUGACACGUCCAAACAAAUACCGUCUUUUGGAAGCAAAUCCACAGCCUAUAAAACAAAAUGAAUUAACAACACAUUAUCGAAGGGUUAACACAUUUAAUCAUUGAUUAUUAUUUUUAAAAAGUUAAACCUGAAUUUUGGUCUAGAAUAAGUUGAAUGGCCCUCCCCCCAUCGAUUUGCUUGAUAUGGGAAUCGGACCAAGUGAUUCUAAAAUCUUCGAGGAAAGUGGCGGGUCGUCCCGAAACCGAGAUCGAACAUGCAAGGAAACAAGAGAAGAUGAAAAGAAAAGCACUGCUUAGAGUUGCCAUUGUCAUCAAUGUUUUGAACUUAGAAGAUUAAAUUGUGGUGAAUAUGUGUAUAUGUGUAUGUAUAUAUAUAUAUAUAGGUGGGAGAGAUUAAGGUUGAUGUAGACCGCUGCAUUGAAAUAGAAAGUGCCAUUCUUAAGUUUAGCUUUCGAUACAGCUAAUGGCAAGCCGUCUUUAGGCCCUACAUACCCCCCAACUGUGCUCUAAUUUUGCCCUUUGGGAACCUAAUCUUAAUGCUUCCACUUCAUAACUUUCUCUUUGUUUUUGUUUUCAUUCUCCAACCUAACAAGAAAAAGGGAUCACAGAUAUUGAAAUUUUACAAUUGAAUUGAUCGUAUAUACAUUGUUUGUCAUGUUCCGUCAUCACAUGAAAAUUUGAUUAAUUUUAUAUAUGGGUGGAUAAUUUUCUAUCUCAUGAAAUUGAUAUGGUAUGAAGGUGGUGUAGAAAAGGAUUGAAGACCAAUGAGGUGUGCCUAAAAAUUUGGGUCAAAUAGGGUUUGGACUUAAGUUCACAAAGGCAGUCUCAUUCAAUAUUGCUUAUCUAAUAUAUCUGUGAACAGCCUAGAUUGAUAUUGAACGGCCGGUUGGCCGGAUCCACCGAGUUACAUGCCCCACCAUUAAGUUUUUUGGGGUCUAAUUGGUCAAAUUCCAUAGGCCUGGAAACCAAUCAGUAUAUCAAUUUAGAUAAAAGGGUUAGAUCGAUUUUAGAGCGAAGCACUUAAAACUAAAUUUAAACCGUAAACCGGUUGAACUGUUUUUUAAUGUUUUUAGUCCAAAUUAAUGGUCCAAAUCGAAAAAAAAAUCUCAACUGGCAAAAUCCAAAUACGUAAAUAUAUCAACCCAACCCACCCGAAUACUUAAAAAAAUUAUUAUUAUUAAGAAAAAAAAAGAGAGGAGAAAAACCAAUAUAAAUCGAAGUGUCAUUAUUGUUAUUUAUUUGUGUUUAUACAAUUUUGUUUUUAAUUUUGUCAAAUUUUUACUUAUUUUCCAAAUUUUCUUUAAUUUUGGACCAAUCGAACUAAAAUUUGGUGAUCUGAUUAGUUCGAUCACCAAUCCAAUUCCGAAAACAUUGGGGGUAGGGGUUGCCUUAUUUUCAUAUUGAUAUAGUAGACAUCGAUAAAAAUAAGAAAAAUAAGAACACAUGAAUUUCUUCAAUAAGUGACGGGAUUCGGGUCACACAAUCUCUAACACAUAUUAACAUGGCUAGCUCUCCUAGAAAAACUUUUAAAUGUUAAUCGAAAACUUUCCCAACUCGAAUAAAAAAAUCUUAAAUCCAAAAUGACUCAAAUCCUAAUUAUUACCUAAACUUAAUUCAAAAAUUCACUAACAAACCCGAAUAACUUCAUCUUACAAAUAAUCCAAACCCAAAUUAAUAUCAAACCUAAAACCACUCAAAAGUCAUGUUGAAAAUUGGAUCAAAUUCCAUUCCCAUCUUUUUCUACCACUUGACAAUUGUUGUGACAAGGAAUAAUUUCAAACAAAAGUAUUAUCCUAUUUUACAUCAAUUGAAGUUAAAACACAGAUAGUGAAAGACUGAGAUAUCUGAAAAUUAUACGACAGAAAGGGAUCAUUUCUUUCACCAGUUGCAUAACUGACGUACAAAGAUCCUCGGGAUUAAAGUUCAACCAAUGUUGGCUGCCAAACCUCAAUUAUUUUAAAACUUUGACCUCAAAGUCAAUAUAAAAAAAUAAUUCUAAAAAUAUGUAGUCCUUAAAUGAUUAAAUAUGCAAAUUUCCUUGUCCAAAUAAAAUUUUUAAUUUCUCCUCACAAAUUAUGAUUAAUUUAUAAUAAAAAAUAAAAAUUGUGGAUCAUGAUUUCCUCUCUCAACUAUAUAUCUCCAGGAUCCAAAUUUGAGUUCUUUUCAUAAGAGCGAAUACGGUUUACCACUGCACUCAACAUUUUUAAAAAAGAAUUAUGUAUAGGAGGAGGCAAAUUCUCUUAUAUCCUGUAUGUUAGUAUUGAGUUGCGGAUUUGCUGUGUUUCGAGUUGCAACUAAUGAUAUAAUUGAAAUUGAAAAAGAAAAGGGUUAAAAUAUGUCAUAGGUUCCUGUGCUUUUUAAUUUUAGGAAUUUAGUUUCUCUGCUUUCUAGAUUUCAAAAUUCAAGUCAAAUUAUUAAUUAUGUUAAUUUUUUGGGGUUGAAUUUGUUGGUGUGACAUUUUGAAAUUAGAAAAAAAAACCUUACUUGGUAGUAAUGUAACUAAAAUAAUGACGUUGUAAUGAACCUGAAUUUAACAAAAUAAUCUUAAUAGUGCUAACAAUUGGACCUAAUUUUUUACAUCUAAAAAGUAGGGGGAUUAAAUUCCAAAUUUCUGAAGAGUUUAGAGACUUAUAAUAUAUUUUAUCCAAAAAUUAGUUGUAGAGUUCAAAACCCCUUCCUACAUCUAUAUGGUCUUACUCGAAGAGUGAUUCAAAAUAAUUCAACAAUACAAGAGAUGAUUUAAGCUCAACUUACUCAACUUGUUGUUGCCUACAUGCAUAUAUAUAUAUAUAUAUAUAUAUAUAUAUAUAUUUGGGGUUAAAUCACUUUUUAGGAUCAAAACAUGGUAACAUUUUUUAUAUUGGGGUUUGAAUUUUUUUUCAAGUUAGGUCAUGAACUUAGCAAUUAUUCUUCCAUUGGGAACUAAACUUUUUUUUAUUCAAGAUAGAUCCUGAAUUAACAAUUUUUCCAAUAUUAGGGUUGAAUUUUUUUUUCCAAAUUAGUCUUUAAAAACCCUAAAAGUUCAGGUCAAGCCUCGAUGUGAGAAUAAUUGUCAAGUUCUUGGACUAACUUGAAAAAAAAUUCAAGCCCCAAUUUGAGAACAAUUGCCUAGUCUAGACCCCAAUGUGAGAACAGUUGUCAAGUUCAAAGUCUAACUUGAACCAAAAAAAAAAAUUUAUACUCCAGUGUAGAAAAAGUUACCAAGUUCAAAUCCCAAAUAAUAAUUUAACACUAUAUUUUAUAUUGAUAAAACAUAAAAAAAUAUCUUAAUUAAAUUAUAAAUAAAAUUAAUCAUAUAAUUAACUCUCAACAUUUAAUAUUAAGAUCCGUAAUUAAUUAUUUUUCCCUAAUGAUGAGAAACUAAUUUAACUUUUAUAUUUGAACUAAUAUACCGAUUAAUUUAACUUUCAUUCAAUUUAACCGAUCGAUCCAGUCCUAUUAAAUAACAUCGGUGAAAAUGAUGGCAAAUAUUUUAUGGGGAUUGGGACAUGUGGAUGCAUGCAUGGUAUGGCAUAUAAGUGAUUGCUGGGAUAAGCUAAUAAAUGGGGUUUUUUACUAAAUUAUUAUAAAAAAAUAAAAAAAUAAACAAAAUAUUAUAACUUUUUUUUUAUUUACCAAAAUAUUAUAAAUUUUUUUAAUUUACCAAAAUAUACCAAAAAAAAACUUGCAAAAAAAAACCUGUGGCGGCACCAAUGGUGCCAAAGCACUAAAAUGUAUUUGCAGUUUCAAGGACCUGACAUGCAAAUUUACCAUUUUAAAAUUUGAAAGUGAAUUGCCGCUGUGCGUGUGGGGCGCACUAAAAUUGAAAUGUGGCUAAUUGCCUUCUAAGCCCUCCUUAUUUUAAUUAAGUAAUAAACUUUAAUUAGUUAAGUGAUAAUUAAGAUACUUAGAAUUCUAAUUAAGUAAUAACUCUAUUUUAAUUUAAUAAACUAUUCUCAUUUAAUAAACUCUAAUUUAAUAAACUCUAUUUUGGUAGUUUGAUGAGAAUAGUUUAUUAAAUUAAAAUAGAGUUAUUAAGUAAUUUGAUGAGAAUAAUUUAUUAAAUUAAAAUAGAGUUAUUUCUUAAUUAGAAUUCUAAGUAUCUUAAUUAUCACUUAACUAAUAUUAGAUUUAAUUAAAAAAUUAACAGAAAUACCAGGCAUGCCUUAUUGAAAAACCAGAAGUAAUAAUAAAACUGAUCACCCAUAAAUGUAACCCAAAUAGAAAAAAUAAAUUAUAAUUAUAAACUAUUCUCAUCAAAUUUAGUAAAUUUUUUAAAUAAACUAUUCUCAUCAAAUUACCAAAAUAAUACAUAAAAUGCGAAUUAGUUUAUACUUUUUUAAAUAGCUUUACUUUAGGUAAAAUAUAUUUACUUUAAUAAUAAAAUAAAGGGAUUUUAUGAGUAAAAGUCAUAGAUUAAGAGCUUAUUUAACUACAAAAAUAGGUUGAGGGCUUGUUUAUUAAAUAAAAAAGUGAGUUAAAGGGGAAUAAAAAGAAAAUAAUAAAUAAGGAGGACUUAGAAGGCAAUUAGCCACAUUUCAAUUUUAGUGCACCCCACACGCACAGUGCAGCAAUUCACUUUCAAAAUUGAAAAUGGUAAAUUUGCAUGUCAGGUCUUUAAAACUGCAAAUAGUUGCAUUUUAGUCCUUUAGCACCAUUGGUGCCACCAAUCUCUUUGGCACCUUUGGUGCCGCCACAGGUUUUCUUUUUGCAAGUUUUUUUUGGUAUAUUUUGGUUAAUAAAAAAAUUUAUAAUAUUUUGAUAAAUAAAAAAAAGUUAUAAUAUUUUGGUUAUUUUUUAUUUUUUUAUAAUAAUUUAGUAAAAAACCCUAAUAAAUGCGUUCUCCAUUGGCAUUGAAUUUUGCCACCAUAACAAUAUUUGAGGUAAAUUUCAAAAAUAGUUCCAUAUCUUUGUUUAAGUUUAAUUUUGGUCACCGAUGUUUCAAUUGUUACGUUUUGUAGUUCACUUUUAUAUUCGGACCAAUAUACUCUUUCCCGUCUUCCUUUUCUUUUCUUCUAACCAAACCCUAGUCGCUGCUCACCGCCAUCGAUGGUCCUCCGGCCGAUAGUGCCACCAUUACUCCUCUCCUCUCCGUUCACUGAUUCAGAUUUCUUCUAGAGCAAACAAAAGGACAAAAGCCCAAGUUGAAGCUUAAACCUUUUCCAACCGUCAGAUCGGCCUAAUCCCAGGAUAUGUGCCUCUCCUCCGUCCAAUGAGGCUUUUCACCAUUGGAUUUGCGAGCAAAUAACUAGAGCCCCGAGAAUUCAACAACCCGAAAUGGGUUUUCUCUUCCCCUUUUGAUUUCCAUUUGCUCUCUUUUUCUUGAUUUUUUAUUCUCUUUUUUUCAUUUCUAUGCCUUCUUCUUUUCCGUGACAUGGAAGCCAUGUUAGCAUUUAGUGGUACAAUUUGUGCAAUGUCAGAUUUUUAUUAACACUAUUAACGGCCAUUAACCGACCAGUAAUCAAAUUGUUAAUAAUUGAUAAAAUUUAUGAUCAAAUCAUAACAAUUGAAACAUCAAUGACCCAAAUGUAAACUUAAACAAAGAUAUGGGAUUAUUUUUGAAAUUUCUAUAACACUAUUAAUGCCCAUGGUGGUAAAGGGCAUAAUUUAUUAUUAUAUUAAUCAAAAUUAUGUAUAAUUAGCAGAAAACAUUAAUUUUUGUAAUUAAUUGUCUUUAAUUACUCAUUUUCAAAAUUGACGAAAUUUAAAUUAUUCUAUCUUUUUAAGAGAUUAAUCUGCUCGAUAUUAAAAUUGAAGGAGACUGAAGAAAUAUUUUUACCUAAAAUUUUUUAGUAUAAGCCUAGCACUUUCCUAGCCAAUCAAGUCCUUAUCAUAUGGUUUGAUUGUCAAACUCAAAAUUAAAGUCAGUCUUUAUUAAAUCAAAUAAUUGCAAAGUGUAUAGCUUUUGCCGGUUCUAUCUUAAUAAUGUAAUCCAUCUAAUAAUAUAUAUUUGUUAAUGGGUCGGGUCGGAUCAAGUUCGAGUUAGGUUUAAGUAUAAUGUCAACACAUUGUAUGUUUAUCCAAGUUCGUUUAGUCUGAAAUAUAAAUUUAAAAUUUUAUCUAAAUCUACCCAUAUUUAUAAAUAUCUGGUCUAAAUUCAUUUUAAACCCGCUCAUAUUAUCUUUAAUUUAUUAUUUAAUAAUUUAAUUUUUUAUUUAUAAAAAAAUUUAUAUAUAGACAUCUAAUAUUUUUAAUGUUUAUAUAAUAUAUAUUAAAAAUUAAAAAGGGUCUAGGCUAAGUCGGACUUCAAAUGUUCAAACUCAAAUUCGACUCAUAUUUUAAACGAGCCUAAUUUUUGUUUAGGCUCAAUUUUACGAGAGUUUAACCUUUUUAAAAAUCAGACAACAUUGGAGUUAAACGAAUAACCCGAUCUAUGAAUAGCUCUAGAUUAACCCAAGACUCAAUUAUUUGAAAAACAUAAAAAGGGCCUAGGUAGACAAAAAGGUUUAAUGUAUUUUGUUUUUUGCCGGUAAAUUGAGAAUGCUGGAAUUGACAAAGCAACAAUAAAUAAGAAGCAUCUUUAAUUAGAGGCUGGCAAGCCAAUGGCUCUUCAAUUCCUAUUUUUUCAUUAUCUUAUAUUAAUAAUUAAUUUGGAUUAUUUAUUUUAUUUUUCUUGAUAAUGAUUAAACAUAAAAGUUUUAGUGUCAUAAAUAGAAAUUGGAGUAAAUAUAGAGUUGUUCAUAAGACAGGUGGCCCAUUUAGCUCGCGUAGUAUGAUCCGAUUUGAAUUUAAAUUAAAUUCUUUUUAAAUUUUAUAUAAAUAUAAAUAUCAAAUAAUAUAUUUUAAUAUUUUACUAAUUUUUUAAAUGGUGAUAUGGAAAAUUUUUUAAAAAUUUGAUAAUUAUAUAUUUCUUUCACUACUAUUAUAUAUAUUUUUAUUAAAUUUUCAAAUAUAAAUAACUUACCUUUUUUAAAAUAUAUACAUUAUGAUAUAACAUAUUUAAUUUUCAUAUGAUAUAAGUACAUAAUGCAUAAAUAAAAGGAAAAGUUACAUAUCAUAAGCUUGAAAACAUACUAGAGUUGAUAUUUGAAUACUGGAGUUCGAAUUAGACUUAUAUUUUAAAUGAACUUAAUUUUUUUACAUAAACUCACUCCUAGCAUGACGAUUGUUUUUUUUUUUUUUUCCGAAUCCUCCCAAUUAUUGAGAAGGAAUUUGAGUUAGGGUAGGUAUAUUGACCAUUGAACAAGUCCAAUCAUAGUUAAUAUUUUGAAAUUAUGAUUUAGAUUUUUAAUUGGUCGCUAAAUUUUAAAACUUUCUAACUGAACUAGCAUAAGUAUCGUAUCAAUCAAGUCUUUUCGAAAGUUUAGUCAUUAGCUUGAGGAUAAACGUUGGCUCAAACAUAACAUUGAGCCUAUUUUAAACAUAUGGAUCAAAUUAUAAUAUGUGUAUCGAAUUUGACGUGUUAAGAAAUGAAUCUCUUAAAUUUAAUUGACGAUGUUACUUGGGAUAAACAACACUCAAGAUUAAUAAAUUGAUAAAUUAAUGUUUUAAUCAUUUAACUUUAAAAAAUUACUAAAUAAUUACUGAACGGGCAAAAUACUAAAAAAAGUCCUAUUUUUUUAAAAUUUAUCGAAAUGGGCUCGGUAUUUUAUUAUUUACUGGAAUGGGCCAUUUUCCCCGAAAUCGCGUCCACGUCAGCGCGAUGUCAGGGGACGUGUCAGAACAUCGCGUCCACGUCAGCUCGCUUAGCUUAUGUGGACAGAAAUCGCGCCUACGAGGACGCGAUUUGCUGACGUGGAUGAACAGUUUAUGUUUUUUAGCUUGGAAAACUUUGAAAGGCCAUAACUUUUGGCUCGGUUGUCCGAUUGAGACGAUUUUUUUAUUUCGAAUAACUUUUCGAGAUCUACGCGCUGAAUUUCGAUUUGCCGCAGUUUUCGUCAAAAAAGAUCCUUUUUUGCCCCUGAAUUUCGAUUUUUUCAGUUUAAAAUUGAAUUUUGAAACAUUCAAAUCAUUAUUUUCCUUAUUUAUUUGAAGUAAACACCGGAUUUUUUUUACAGAAUUGUUGUAUUAUUUUUUCUGAUUUGACACGUGUAUGGAAUAGGUCCGAUAAAUCGUUAGAACGUAAGUAAUAUAAUUAAGAUUAUAACAGUAUUUCUAUAAUAUGUUAAUUAAUUAGUUUGGCUUAGUUGGUUAAGAUGCUUGCUCUUUUCCCUUAGUACCUUGGUUCAAAUCUUGUUGGUAACAAUUUUGAAUCUUUUUUGUACUUGUUGCUAUUGAUGUAAUAUUGAAGAGUUAAUUGAUUAAAAAAAUAAAUACAAGUACAAAAAGAUUCAAAAUUUAUUUUUUCAAAAUACCAAAAAAGCCCUAUAUUUUUAAAAUUUAUCAAAAUGGGCCCGGUAUUUUAUUUUUUUGACCGUUGGGUACUGUUCACGCGCGGGCCGAAAUCGCAUCCACGUCAGCAUCUCGCGCUGACGUGGACGCGAUUUCCUGACGCGUACCCUGACAUCGCGCUGACGUGGACGUGAUUUUCCGAAAAAAGAACCAUUCCGAUAAAUAAUUAAAAAAUAGGCCCAUUGCGGUAAUUUAAAAAAAAAAGCUUUUAUUAGUAAAUUGCCCAUUACUGAACUGCUUAAAAAUUUUCAUUUAAAUUACUGGAAAGGUUUUAAAUAUAUAAUUUUACAAUUUUUUUUUGUUUUAUUAAAUAAAUGACCGACAAUACUAUAAACCUUUUAGUUUCCACUUUCUAUCUUGUCUAUCAAUUCAUGGCAAUGUUAAUCAAUUAUGGUUAGUUAUGAAUUAUAAUAAGAAAUUAAUGAUAUUUAUUGAGACUAGUUCUAUGCACAUCCCCCGAGGGGGGCAAUAAAACAAUAAAGAAAAUUUUGGGUGAAAAUUCAAAAUAAUGAAAAAUUAAAAUUACUUAACUAAUAAUUUUUACUAUUUACCCUUAUCGAUUUAUUUAUUGCCAUGUACUCUAAUUUAUAUGAUUUUUGGUUCUUGUCUUUUUUAUGUUUUGGAAUUUUAGUGAAUACUUAAAUUAAUUAAGUUAAAUUUGUUAUUUCUAAAAUUUUACAUGGCAAACAUGUUUUUUUCCACAUAAUCCUUGCAAAAAAAAAGUCAAUCACUUUAGUUAAUUGAUAAAAUAGUUACGGUUUGAAUCGUGACUAAAAUAUCAAAAUUUAAAAGUUAAGUAUUAAAAAUAAUGAAAUUGGAGAACAUGGUCUAAAUCCAUAAUUUAGGCAUAGUACAAGAUUAAUAGCAUAAUUUGAUUUAACAUAUUUAACUGUCGUUUGGGUUGAGAUUAAAAUUUCAAAAUUCAAAAAGUACAAAGAUUAAAAUUGACCAAAUUAGAGUAUAAGAACAAAAAUUAAUAAAUUAUACAUGAUAUAGGGAGUAGGGACCAAUAAUAAAAUUUGACCUUAUAAAUGAAUAAAAAGUGCUAAUGGUUUUAAAAACUUACUGUGAUAAAAAAAAUGCAUGAGAGAGAAGUUAAAAUUAGGAAAGUUUUCUAGUCUCAUCAUUAGCUAUUGCUAUGUGUUGGUUUUUUCUGUUGAGUUUAAGACUUAUGAAGAUAAAUAUUAAUUACAAAUAAGAUUCCGCUAAAAUAAUCUCAUAAAAAGACUUUACAAAUAUAAUCGUAAAGUUCAAAAUAAAACAAAAAUUUACAAGAUAUAUCUUCAAGUCAAUCUUCAUAAAUCAAGGGAUCCAAUUUAUUUGACCUAGAUCAGUCCAAACUUCAAGGAUUUGUAGCUUCACAAAAUAGAUCUUCAAAUAUGGGUCAACACAUGUUCAUAAUAUUCACUAAGUCAUGACCCAACUGUUUUGGUUUAAAGAUCCGUCGACAUUAAUAAGCCAAGUUAUGUAACUUGUGGGCACUACAUGAGACAUUGCUCACAUAUUGCCUCAACAAUCUCUUCCAACAAGAAUUCUAUAUUUAGAAUAUGAAUCCAUCUUUAUAAAGUACCAUUUAAUCCAUCUUAAUCUGUCUAAAUUUUAUCAAAUCAAUUACCCUUAAUAUAAGAUUACAAAUGAUUGUGGUAAAUCUUCAUAAAAUCAACUCGCGUCUUCUUGGAUUUACAUAUCCAAAUAUAUAAGAUAACUUAAUUUGGACACGAGCAAUAUUACUACUUUAAAAACUUACCUAGACCCAAACACUUGUAUAAACUUAUUUUGUAUGAGAAAUUAUAGAGAAGAUUAAUUAAAUUUUAAUCUAAUUGCUGCAAAAUUUUCAAUUAUUUCAAUGGGAUAAUGCUAAGAAUAUUAUAUGAGAUUUGAGACCCUACAUUAUUGUGAAAUAUCAAAUCAGACCUACAUGACAUUUUUUUUCUUCAUAUAAAUCAAAUUUAAUGUAUAGAAAGUUCUAUUUUGUAUAUUUUAGCUGGAUCACACAUAAAAAAGUACUUUUAAUUCAUUGAAUUUUUUGAAGGGAAAAUCAAAUCAGGUAUAAUUUAAUAUUUCAACAAGCACAAAUAAUUGAUCUUUUGUGUGGUUUUAGAUAAAAGAAAUAAAUUUUAAAUAAAUCGCUUAGAACCAAUUGAAUAGGAUAAAAAAAUUGAUUAAAUUAAUGAUUGAAUUGAAUUUAUACUUUUAUAAUUAUUUUUUAAAAUUUAAAAUUAUUAGUAAUUUAUUUAAUUAAAAUUGAAGUGGUAAUCAAUUUGAUCAAACCGAAAAUCGAUUAUCUGAUGAAUUUAAUCACCAAUCCAAUUCUUAAUGCAUGUUUUUGACUUGGACAGGAAUUUUUCUUUUUAAAUUUAAUAUUGGAAAAUGAUUUUUCUAUGUAUAAUGUUUUUGGCUUAAAUACUCAUUUAGCUUUGGAAUUUAUCAUUUUCUCCCAAUUUGGUAUUUAUGGUAUUUUUGUUCCAAUAUUAAAUAUCAAAACCUUUGAUGGAAUGAAAAUCGAGAUACCAACUUGAAACAGAAAACCAUAAAUACCAACUUAAGAGAAUAUGAUAAAUUCGAGGGUUAAAUGAAUAUUUAAACCAACAUUCACUGAUUCAAGUAUAAACAACUACCCUAUCACAAAUUCAUAGAUUUCAUCCUUCGUUAUAAAACAAAGUUGCUGUGAUAAUUUUAUUUUCAAAAUGAAAUAUAAAAUAAUUAUUAAAUAAACUAAUUAAAAAUAUCAGAAAAUAACAAUUUCCUUUCGGUACUUUCACAGUAUCACUAUAAAUAUACUCGUAUAUAUAUAAAAAAAACUAAUAAUUUUCUUUUAAUUAACCAUAUGAAAUCAAUAAUUAAUUAUUACAUUUUUAGAAAUAAUAAUUUAAUUAAAAUUGACACAUAUAUAUAUAUAUUUAAAACUCAUAUCAAUAAAUUAAAGCUUCUAAGAAAAAAAAAUGAAUGUUAUUAAAAUAAUUAUGAAAAUCUAAUUAAAAAGCUAGCUGCCUCAAAGCUCAUUAAAUGCAUGCAAGGCAAUUGCAGGGUCAGGUAUGCACACGCCCUGAAAAAGAUUGCUCAAACAGUUUCUUACAUGCAGAGACUUUUUUGCCUAAAAUUAUACCCUCAAUCAUUUAACAUCACAGAGACUUUUUUGGCUAAAUUUAUACCCUCAAUCAUUUAACAUCUCCUUUUCUUAUCUGCUAAAUUCGAUUUAGUAAAAAUAAUUAAAAAAUUUGAAUGACAAAAAUAUGAACUUUUAAAACCUAAAUGAUUAUUGGGAAAAAAAUAAUUAACAGAGAAAUUUAUAUUUUAAUAUAAUGAUAAAAUUGUACUUUAAUUCCUCUAGUAAUUCAUAAUUCAUAUCUAACUUUCUUUAAAAUAAUUUUCUAACUUCGUCCAUGCUUCAGCGUAUACAGGGGCAGAAUCACCUUUAAUCCUUUUAUAAUUUUAAAUAAUUUAAAUUAGCAUAUGUAAAAUUACACUUUGCCUCUCAAGAAUGAGAACAAAAUUAGUAUAUAAACUAUUAAGAUGAUGAAAUUUUACUUUUACUAUUAUAAAAAUAUACAAUUUUAUUCCGACCCCUCAAUUUCUCUGGAUUUUGAUUGAUUUCCACUAGUUGCCACUAAAUUGUACUAAUGUAGAGUUGAAUUUUAUUCCAAAAAAGCUACUAAUGGUAUCAAUUCAAUACAAUAUAUAUAUAUAUAUAUAUAUAUAUAUAUAUAUAUAUAUAUAUAAAGUUCAAUGAUUUCGAUAUACCGUUUGCACAAUCAACACGUUUGGUCUAAAUAAUUAUGAAAAACUUGUAAACUCAUCAUUGAAUACAAGUAUCAUUAACAUUAAAAUAUUUAUCUAUUUCUAUUAUUAAAAACUGACAUGAUUAAUAAUAAAAUAACAAAAUAGUUACAAGUGACACACCACGUGUACCUCACUCUAAUGUACAUUAACCAGUUUUUAACAAUAGAAAUGGAUACAAAUUUUAACCGAAGGACUAGUCUGCUGUUUGAUUUAAUGCAUAAAGACUAACUUACCCAAUUUUAAUAGAAGGGACAAAAUAAAAUUUGACUCUCAGUACAAACAAGACUCCUGUUACUUUUACCUAUUGAGAAACAAUGGAAUUGAAAAAGAAAGUUGGAAGUUCAAAUUCAAUGGGAUAGAAACCUUGAAAGGACAGUGGAUAGUUCUCUUUGAUCUAUAUAACAAGUGAUAUAACAAAAACAGUAAUUUAAUUUGAUUAUUAUAAAACCCUGGAAAGAAUCUUACAGUACAAUAAAUAGUUGUUCAAGAAUAUCAACUUGCAAUUCUACUGAGUUGAGUAACUAGCUCCUUAUCUGUAGAGUUUUUCAAAUGUUCGACGAUUUCGUCGACAUACGGAGCUUCUAAGUGAAUCCUUCUUCUAAGCAUUAACCUAGCAAGCUUCACAGCUUCAACUGAAUGGCUUUGCCGACACAAGCCAACCAAAAGAAUAGAAUAGAUGUCAGUGUCGAUGGAUGAAAUGUAUUGAAUCCGCUCGAUUUCAUUGUAUAAGCAAAAACCAUCUAGCACUCGUCCCUCAUGACAGAUCUCCCUAAUCAUGGUACUACAAGCAAUGCCACUAGGUUUAGCCCCACUUACUAACAUUUUCCUAAAGAGCUUCUCUACCUCAUUGAGUCUAUUAAUCCUAAUCAAAGCCAAUACAAGAGAACUGUAGCAAUCACUAUUGGAAACACCACGUCCGGCAACUCUAUCGAUCAACUUAUAUGCUUCUUCGACAUGUCCCUCGGUGCAAAGACCCGUGAUCAAAGUAAUAACAGUUAUACGGUUAGGAACACACUGGCAAGCUUCCAUUCUAUCCAAAAUCCUCAAUGCCUCUAUUGUUUGACCCUUCUCACAAAAGCUUUUAAUCACAGAUGUAUAUGUGAUUACAUUUGGACUACAAUUCCCACCUGCUUUCUCCAUCUCCCCUAAUAAUUCCAAUGCCUUUUCCGUACUCCUGUACUUACAAAUACCCUCGAGAAGCACGGAAUAAGUCACAGCAUUUGGAGAAAACCCUUGCCCCUUCAUAGCCUGAAACAACUCACAAGCCUCCUCCAAUCUACCAGCAUUACAGAACCCCUUGAUCAUUGCAAAAUAAGUCAUCAUAUCGGGAUAAAGAUCAAUCAAGCCAAUCUCUUUCAUCAAUUUAUGAGCCAUAUCCAUAUCCCCUUUCUCACAAAGCAGCCUGAUAACCACAUUAUAAGCAGUAGUAUCCGGACGUAAAUUAAAUUCAGGCAUUUUCCUCAAUAGCAACAAAGCUUCAUCGGCAAUGUUAGCUUCUUUACACAAAUUCAAAACAACCUUAAACAUUUUAAGGUUAACUGAACACUUUUCCAUCCUGUAAGCUUUGAUAACAUCCAAAACAAGAAAUGGGUUUUGCUUAAUUUUCAAAAAUCCAGCAGCUUUGUUGUACAUAUAAGAACUAUACCUACAAUUUGAUUGAAGACCUGCCCAUAUGAAAAACCUUAAACCUAUUUGAGAUAGAGAUAUAUCAAAAGAACAUCUUUUUAACACCUCACAAACACAGUUUGGGUCCAAUUUGGCAUUGACUAAAGCUAAGGUUUUCUCUAUAUUGCUUUGGUUUUUCUCUAAAAGAGUGAAAAAUUUGUCGGCAGAGGAGACCGAUCUGAAUUGAAGAUUGAAAAUUUUGCUUUGUUUAGUGUGAAUUGAAAGUGAAAUCAAUCUAGAGAGAGAAGCAAUUGGCAUUGCUUUGUGGGGGAAUUUAGUGUCUUUGCAAGAGUUGAGGUUGAACAAAACAAUGAGGUAAAAUCUUACGAGAUUGUUUCCGAAUGAAGUUGGAUAAGUUUUGGCAAGAAUGAGGCCAGGUGUACCGAGUUGUUCGAAUGUGGCCCAGUACGGUGGCAUCAACUCAUAGCCAGGCAACCAUAACCUCAUAUAUGGCCCUGCAUUAUAACGAUAGAGCAUUAAGGUAACUCACAAUUAUGUAUGAUUUUCAUUUUAUUAAAAACAUAACAGUAUCAAGCAUAUAUCCGUGUUUGAUGUUCAAAUAUGAGUCCGGUGUGUAAAAGCGGAAACACGACAUUUCCUAAAAAUUAUUACCAUAUUAGCACAAGUCAGUGAUGGCUAAGCUUCUAUUACAUUGAAAGAUUGUUAAAUCGAAACCUGCAGUUUUAACACAUUAACUUCAUCAAAGUGGAAAAGCAAAACCGAAUUUUAUAAAAAUUAUAAUCGGAAACGAAAUUCACUUUGACGGAAACCGGAAUAACAACUGAGUUUAGUCGGUCGGUCCCGUCGGUUAAUCAUACCGAAAAAAUAUCAUGAAAAAAGCUGUUUUUUUUUUUAAUUUACACAAACCAUAAUGAAAGUAAAUUUGUAGUAAAUAAUUGAAUUUCCCAUAAUUGAUCGCAACAAAAAACUCAAUUUACAACCAUAAUUAAUUGGAAAGCUAAUCGAAAGUCAUAAGCUACCUGUUUCAUUUGGCUACUACUUCAAAUGACUACCAUAGAAUUUCGAAAUGGGCCAAAACUAAUUUUAGGGUAAAAGAAAAGUAGGCGAUGAGCAAGACGACAAAGUUGAACAUCAAUAGAUUAAAUAGUUUUAAAAGAAAGAUUGAACAGCUAUAUACAGUAGAUUAAAUGUGGCAAAAGCCAAAAAUAACUUACAGUGGCCGGUGACGAGGCGUUUUCCGAUGAGCAAGGCGGCAACCGAGGUCCGAGAAAGGUUGAAGGCGAUGAGCUGUUACCCACCGGCGUUGGGUUUGCUGGUUCAGUUCAAGGCUGUUCACCAUAGAUUUAGGCUUUUAUUUUUAAUUCGUUUAAAAUUUUUUCUUUUUUAAAUGAAUUAAAAUUUGUAUUUGGGUUUUUUAGUUUUUAGAAUUUGUAUUGGGCUUUAAUUUUUAUAGCUUGGAUCUUGUGUAUAAUGAAUUUAUUUGGGGAUUGGAAAAUGAGUAUGAUAUUUAUAUUUUAAAAAUAUAUAAAAUUAAUAAGUUAUAUUAAUUCGAAUUAGAUUUUAAAAUCGAUUGACUUAAAAUAAUUGAAUUAGUCUCUCAAAUCGAUUUGAAAUUAAAAUUGAUUUAAUUGAAUUAAGUGAAUCAAAUUUAAUCGAUUAAUUCGAUUUUAACCAAGUUUUCAUCAUCUUUAAAUUAAGUGAAAGUAUAUAUGUAAAAAUGUAUACUAUAUUUCAAACACAUAAAAGAGUUGGUAUCACGAGUCAACUGGACGCUAACUUAAGUGAAAAUACCCUUACUUUACAAAGUAAAUUGUAUUAUUUUAAGGAUGUUUUUGUCUUUCUACAUCUUUUAUAUAGAAAAAUGUUUACAUAUAAUAAGACUUUAACUUGUGUAUUUAUAGUUUCAACAUUUAUACUUUACAAUUCAACCAAAGUCUCAUUUACUAUAUUAAUUAAUUAUAAAUAUAUUUAUUAUAUAAUAUUAUGUUUUUCGUCUACGUGGUUGUGUCAUAAUCUAGUAAUAAUAGUAAAUAAAGUUUAUGCAAUUUAGGUUAAGUGAGUCACAGUACACCCAUCUCUUUACGCGCAUUUCGUUUUUAUCCCAAAGCUUUAAACUCACCACGCAGUCCUAGUCGUUCGCCGCAAUGCUUCGCUUUUCUUCAGUGGUUUCUGGCAUUGAUUUUGGUUUCAAUAUGUUCCCCUUAAUCUCCUGUCUACUAUUCUAGGAUUAUAUCCCAACAUCAUUGGUUUUCUCUAAUCUAAACUCAAAGUUUUGGUUGGCGUGCUUUCGGUCUCCCUCGCACACUGUUAACCACAACUCAAAUCUUAUAGUAGUCACUUUGAGCUUUCCAAAUCUAGUUUGACUAAAUUUGGGUCAAUGAAGCAUUUCACCAACGCCAUUCACUGCUCGAUCUUCUCAUGAAGCCAACGACUUGUUCCUUCUGUUCUCAUGAAUUGUAGGUUUUAUGUUUUCCCUAAUUUUUAUUCCUUGUUGGAUUGCAUUGUGUCACGGGUCAAGACUUUAGCUCCGAUCAUGUGUGACUUUAGAUUCGACUAAGUCAGCCUUUAGUCCUCGCUUGGGAGAGAUUUUAGCACACUUAGGGAACUUAGAUAGAACAAGAGAAUGUGGGAGAAUGUGGAAGCAUUCUUAUUAACUCUCAAAGUUAGCUUGUACAAAUGAGGGAUGAGAGCCUCUCCUUAUAUAAGUAAGCCCCAUUCAAUCCAACGGUUACAAUUGAUUACAAUAAAUGGUCAAUAUCACAUUCUAGAACUUUCCCACUUAACUCCAUUAAAUUCUAUACAUGAACGGAUAGUUCUAGAGCUUCCAAAAAUAUUCUACAUGGUUCUAAAGUCUUUCGGGGCACUUCGGGAAUCUUGUGGCUCAAUAGUCUCGUGUUUGCUCGAUUUCGGGCUUGAUAAGGCCUUGCUCACUCACGAAUCAUGACACUUGGAUUAGUUGCCUUGCUUUGUCUCUAUUUUUUUUUCAAUUGCAAAAUAGGAAAUCAAGAAAACUACUAGGUUUGUGCUAGGGAAUUUGCUUCAAGGGUAGGCAUUUCAACCCUUAAGGUUCUUUUGGAAGGGUAAGGAUGAAGGUAAAAGUGGGCUAGACUGUGUUAACCAAAGGUUUCAAAGAAUUUGACAUUCAAGAUUGUUAUAUUGCUACCUCGGCUUGGGCAUGUGGUAACAUGAGAAGCGAUUGAGGAAACACACAUGGAUGGCCUUCCACCUUAUAUCGUCCAUAUGAUUUCUCAAUGACCAAUCACCUGCAUGCUUCGUACUACCCAGGGGAAAGAUCAUCUAUCCUUAACCACUCGAUUGGACCCUUCGUUAGGCCACCCGCUAUUAGCUAGUGCACUCUCCUCAAGAGGAGACCUUCGAGUGGUGUAAUUGGACAGGAGACCUCCUACCUAUAAAUACCACAAGAUACAACAUAAAAGGGAUCUUCUUCUUCCUUCUCAUAAACCCUAAAUAACAUACUAAGCCCUUAGCCUCCUCUUAUUCCCUCACUUUUCCAACUCUUCACUUGUUUAGAUUAACCAACCUCCUUCGCUCCACCACCUUCUCCACCAUAUUUCCUCAUUUGUUGAUAUAUUGUAUCAACAAAUAUAUUUAAAAUAAAUAAAAUAUAUAAAUAUAUGAAGUUUGUUAAGUUGAUUGGUUCAAUUAUGAAUAUUAAUAACCUUAAACUGACUAACUUAAUCAAAAGCAUGUGCCAACUAAUUUAAUAAAAUACACAAACCCAAUAUUGGUUUAACCGAAUGAACCAAUUAAAUCAAUAAUAUUCGAUUUUUGCUUACCCUAUGCAUCCAAAGAGAAAAGAAAAUUGAUUUUCAUCCAAUUUUUUUAUUCGCUCUGCCUACCAUGCGGUGAAGGUUGAGCUAUAGAAAGAAAAAAAAAAACCCAUGCCCUUUCCAAUUUCAAAAUCGAAAUUUUUUCAAUCAAAGUAUCAUAAAAGCUCAUGUAGUAAAGUUAAAUUGUGUUUUGUCCAUUUUACUUAAAAAUUAAAAAAUUAGUCUCUAUAUAUUAGGGCAAGGAACAAAUUGGUCCUUUUAGCUAAAAAGUUCAUCAAUUUUUAACAAUAGAAAUGGAUAAAAUUUUUAACAGUGGAUAAAAUUUUUAACAGAGGACUAAUUGACUCUUUAAUCUAAUAUAGAUUAAUUUGGUUCUACUACAGGGUCAUCCACGAUACAUUUACCAAAAAUUUUCUCAUAUCACAUAAGUUUCUUUUUGGUUUAUAUCACAAGUGUCCUUAUUCGAUAUGAGAUUAGUUUCGCUCGGGUUAAGAAUGGAUUCGAGUAAAGCCCUCUCAAUAAUGAGAAUUCUAAAAAUCGAACUUAACCUAAAUUACCGACGGAAAAAUCCACUCUUUCCAAGCACUUGUUAAUACGGUUUAACAAUAUAUUUAGACAAAAAUAAUAAUAAUUGAAAUAAUCUACAUUCUUCUUAUGAUACAUCAGUGAUUUCAUAUCCGUUUUGUAAGAACCGGUUGGCGUUUAUGGUGUUUGGUUGCUGUUUUUUGUUCCAUAGUUGUCUUCUUUCUUUGUAUAUGUACUGAAUUACGGCUUUUUCCUCUUCUCAAAUGCUCCUUUCAAUACUGUCAUCCCACCCUAUCUUUCAAAUUCUAUUGCCUUUCUUUCUCUAUCUUCUAUUAUAUAUAGUAACUUGUCUCUGUUUCCCAAAUCUUUGUUGGCCAUUGUAGCUUAAACAAAAGCUCAACACCCGAGGUUUUAAGAAAAAAGGUUUGUUUUCCUUUUCUGCCUUCUCUUUUUUCCUUUUUGUCAUUCGCUUCUGCAUUAACUUACUUGUCCUUCGAUCGUUACAUCAUUUCAACAGACUGCGAUAUAUCGCCCGCCCUUAUAAUAUUAUUACCACUCUCCUCUUCCGUUAUAAAAAGUAUCCAAAUUUUGCCAUCGUUUUCUUCAUCAAAAUGAGCCAUAGUUUCAUAUUUUCCCUUCUUUUUCUCUUGAUUUUAAGCUCAACCCAACUGAGAUACAAAGCUGAAGGUAACUUUUAAUCAUCUUUUUCAUUAGGCAAUUUUUUCUUGCUUGCUUACUUUUGUUUCUGCAGGUAGAUCAAUACCAAAAUCCGAUGAAGAAAAGGCGAGGUUAAGAGCACAGAUAGGAUCAAGGCCACCAAGGUGUGAGAGAAGGUGCAAUUCAUGCGACCAUUGUGAAGCCAUUCAAGUGCCUACCAAUCCUCAAAUCUCCCAUGUUGCUUAUGCAAGAGGUGAUGGAAGCUCUAACUACAAACCCAUGAGUUGGAAAUGCAAAUGUGGCAACUUCAUCUUCAACCCUUAGCUCAUAAAUACAUAUAUAUUUUAGGUUCUUAAAUACCCAUUUUUGAACCAUGUAAGUAUUUUUUUUUUUUUUUUGCUUGUGAGAACAUAUUAGAAUUCCGUUGUGAAAUUUCUUGAUUAUCUGAAUCUUUAAAAAGAAAAUGAAUCUAUAGUACUUGCUGUUGCUGUGGGGCGUGUAUUUGUACUGGUAUNNNNNNNNNNNNNNNNNNNNNNNNNNNNNNNNNNNNNNNNNNNNNNNNNNNNNNNNNNNNNNNNNNNNNNNNNNNNNNNNNNNNNNNNNNNNNNNNNNNNACGUACUAAGAUACGAUUUCUUGGGCAAAUCGUUAUGACGUUGGGAGGAAGGGGGGUCUAGAAAUUAGUGUAAAGUAUUUACUUAAAAAGUAGACAAUGAUUUUUGAGUUGGUAUAGUUUCACCAUACACGCCAUCGUGUCUGGUUUUGGUGUCAACUAUUGUCGAAAAAUGCGAUAGGAAUUGAAGUGAUCAGAGAGGGUAAAGGAAAAAGCUUAAACUGUUCUUUUAAUGGCAGAUUCCAGUUGUGUUUUCUUCUUAUUGUCUCUCUUCGUUGCUUACUUGGCGUGUAAGGAAUUACAUAGUAACGAUUCCGUUUUCCUUGAAAACUUACUUGAACAGUCAGCUCGCCUGGUUUCAUUAACAUGACAAAACAUACAUGGGUCUAAAACCAAAACAACUUUUAGGAUUUAAUCUAAUUGUCUGAAUUGAUUAUCAAGAUUGCUCCGUUGGCUUAUUUCAUUGUUUCAUAAUGAUUAAUUCGAUUUUUUAAGUAUUUAAAUUAGAUUAAGUGCAAUUUUCAGUAAAAUAAACCAAUCCAUUUAAUCAACUUUUCUAUUUUUUAAAUAUGUUUAUAAUAUAUAAUUUUUUUGGGUAAAUAAAGGUAGUGGACACUAUUAUAAAUAACAAUCCCUCUAAAUCAUAUUACGCAUAUAGACUCUAGAAAUGAAAAUAACGUUUCAUCUCUGAGUAAGGGUAUUAAUAGUCUUGUUGAUAUAACUUCUUUUUAUUUUGGUAAAUUAUAUAGUAAAGUCAGUUCUGUAGAAGAAAAAGUAAAUAACUUAGGUAAUAUAAAAGAUUUAGACUUAAACCAUGAGUCUAAAGAAAUAUUAACUAAUGUUAAUAAUAAAUUAGAUCAAGUUUUUAAUAAUAAUAAUAUAGAGUCCGAUGUAAAUUUAGGUCCUUUAUAUUAUGGUAAUGGUCAAGAUCAUAUUUUUGUUUUAUCUGAUGAAGAAAACACUUCAUCUGAUGAGUCGUCAUCUAUGUUAAAAAAUUAUAAAAAACAUAAAAAACGUAAAAAAGUUGAUAAACAAAAAGAAUAUGAUUUCCAAUCCUAUAAAACACUUAUAGAACAUUGGAAAGAAAAAUUUGCUACUACUAAUGAUCAACUUGAAAGAGUUGAAUAUUUAAAACUAAUAGAAGAACUUUAUGAAAAACAUAAAGAUCUUUUUAGUAUGUUUAAUUAUCAUUAUAUGUUAAAAUAUGAUGAUACAAGUAGUGGUUCGAGUAAUUCUGAAAACACAUAAUUAUUCAAAAAUCAAUCUGGUGAAGAAAAAACUUCAACAGAUCAGGAAAUAAAAAAUAGAAACUUAUCUGAUGAAGAAAAAACUUCAACAGACCAGGAUGAAGACAUAAAAGUCUCAACCUAUACUUCUGAUGAAGAAACCACUUCAUCUGAAGAAGAAAAUAUAGACAUUCCUGAACCCAUGGAUACUGAACCACCAGAUCCUCGUGGAAAAAGGAAGUUAGAAUCUGAUGGUCUAACAGAUGACUAUCUUAGAUUUUCUAACAAAGAUUAUGAAUUAGAUAAUGGAAAAUUUAGAAUCUUUGGUAACAAAUCCGAAGAUAUAGCUACUAAUGAUGUUAAACCUGAACAUUUAGGAGAAACAUCUAGUCAACCUGUUCAACAAAGAAUAGAUGACUUAAAUAAAAGAAAUGUUGCUCAAGGAGGAAUAUAUUUAGAUUUGACUAAUAUUUCUAUUCCAGACUAUGAAAAAACCAUAGAAAAUUGGGCACAGUCAAUGACGAUUGUUGUAAACAACAACACAUNNNNNNNNNNNNNNNNNNNNNNNNNNNNNNNNNNNNNNNNNNNNNNNNNNNNNNNNNNNNNNNNNNNNNNNNNNNNNNNNNNNNNNNNNNNNNNNNNNNNNNNNNNNNNNNNNNNNNNNNNNNNNNNNNNNNNNNNNNNNNNNNNNNNNNNNNNNNNNNNNNNNNNNNNNNNNNNNNNNNNNNNNNNNNNNNNNNAAAAAGAUCAAGAUAGUGUUGCUAGCUAUACUCUUUCAAAAAUUAAAUUAUGUGAUAUUAGAUAUUUGGAUGAAUUUUCUAAAAAAUUUCUUCAUGAAUAUCAGAAAUUAAAAAAUGAAAAUAUAGAGUUUUGGAAAAACCAAUACUUUCAUAAAUUAACCCCACCUUGGGAUGAGAUAUGUAUAAACAAAUAUGUAUCUUAUUUAGAAAAGCAAAGUAAAACAUCUGGGCUUUCUUAUGAAAAUUUAGAUUCUAUAGGAAAUAGAAUUUAUUUUGCAAGAGAAAGAAUAACUUUGCACUGCUUGCAAACUAAAGCGGCUAAACAAGUCAAAAAUAAAUUAGGUUAUAAAUAUUGUUCUAAAAUAUUAGAAAAUGAAUGGGAAUUUGGGUGUAAACAAAUAUAUCCUAAAACCUAUAAAAAACGUAAAAAAAUAUAAAUUUAGAAAAUGGAAACCAGGUAAUAAAAAAAUUUCUGGUCAAAGUCAAAAAGUGGUAAGGAAAAAGAAUUCCAACCAAAAGAAACAAAUAUGUAAAUGUUUUAUUUGUGAUGAAGAAGGUCAUCUAGCUAACAAAUGUCCUAAUAAAGGGAAAAAUGCUAGGAAAAUGAUCAAAAAUCUUGAAGAACAAGAUUUAGAAAUAUGUUUCAUACAGGAAACAAAUCCUAAUGAAAUAUUAUAUGAAUUAAUAUCAGAAACAGAUUCUGAUGAAGAAUAUAUUUUUAUGUUUAAUAUAGGAAAUAAUUCUAAAAAUCAAUUAGAAGAAAUUCCUAAUUCUGAACAACAGAAUAUUAAAUUAGGAAGUCUAAUCGGAGAAGAAAAAGACUUUUCUGAUGAAAUGAUAGAGAAGAUUAACAAAAAUCAUAUCUCUAAAGAAGAAAUUUAUAAAAUCUCUAAGUUCAAAAUCUGGACACAGAGACACAUAGAAAAAAUUAGCGGUAAUACAGUCGCUAAAGAUACAAGAGGAGGAUUAACAGAAAUCCCACUCUUUACUAAAGAAAAAAUUAAGAGGAUUAGAAAGAAAUAUCCUCAAGUUAGAUAUAUUCAUUUAGGUAUAAUCAUGAUUACUAUAAGAGCCUUAUUUAGGAGAGGUCAUGGUAUUCCUAUUAUAGCAGUACUUUUAGAUAAAAGAUUUGAAAAUCCAAUAAAAUCACUUAUUGGAGGAAUUCAGUCUAAUUUACAUAUGGGCGUAAUAGGAUUUAAAGUUAAACCCAAUUACUUUAUUUCCAUUACAGAUCCUCUAAUAGAAGAGUGUCUUUGCCUUAGAAUUCAGACAAAAAAUUCUGAUAUUAAUGAUUUAGCAGAAGAUCUAGCAAUCAGUUGGACUUCUAUUAAUGAAUAUACAAAUACUGCUGAAGUAGAAAUAAAAGAGAUUAAUAACAAAAUUAUUGAACUCUUUGAACCAAACCGGUUCACUACUGAAAUUCAGCCUAGAUUAUUAGAUAUAAGAGAUCUGUCAAUUCCAAGAGAUUGGAUGAUAGAUAAAAUUAGUAAUGCAAGUACUUCUAAACCAGUAAGUACUAUAGAAUACAUGUCAUCUGGAAACAAAUUAUAUUUUAAAAAUAAUUGUAUAACCAAUACAAAUGAAAAUUUAGUUUUACCCUCUAGUUCUCAACCGGAAGAAGAAGAGGAUAAUAUUAGUACAAACAGUACACCAAUAGGAAUUAAAACUAUACAAAUUCCUAUAUUUCCUACUGAACCCAGUAUUAAUUCUAGAAAAACUAGAAUGGAAGAAAUACAGGUUUCAACGAUUGAUAAAAAGUCAAAAGUUGGAAUAAUUAUAAGAAUUACAUUCCAGUUUAGUAAAUAUAAACCAUAUUCUCUAAACGCUAUGAUAGAUACUGGAGCUACAAUCUGUAGUUGCAGAAUGAAUGCGAUCCCUGCAGAAAAAUGAGAAUUAAUUAGAAAACCUAUAAUAAUAAAAGGUAUAGAUGGUAAUAAAACCAUUAUUAAUUAUAAAGCAAAAAAUAUACCAAUCUACAUAAACAAUGUUAGAUUUGUAAUUCCUAAAAUUGUAUGUUUUCCUAGUAUGCAAACAGAUAUAUUAUUAGGAAAUAAUUUUAUACUUAGACAUUUACCUUUUACUAUUAACAAAAAUAGUAUUUGGUUAUCAAAAGAAAAAGAUUUUAUAAAAAUACCAAUUGAAGAAGAUAAUAAAAUUGUGUGUAAUAAAAAUUUUACACCAGUUAAAAUUAAUUAGCCAAUACUUGCAAUUUAUUACUAAUACUUGCUGAUUUUUUAAGCAGGCCUUAUGGAUAGAGGUAAAAAACCUCUACAUCAAGCAAUAGUUGGUGAAUGGACAACCGUUCACAAAAAACCCAUCAAAGGGAAAGCAGAAUCAACAUCCAAAAAAGGAUUUGUACCUGCACAACAAACACCAUUUUAUCCUAACCAAGGAUAUUAUGUGUCUUAUCCAAUGGUAAACCAACCACUUGGAUCAAAUGUUUUAAAUUACCCAAUGGUAAAUCAACCAAUGGGAAAUACUUUUUCAUUGACCCCAAACACGGUGAGUCAAUUACAAUGGUCCCAAAAUCCGAAUUCAGUAUCACAAACAAGUUAUGCUGAAGUCAUUAAGGGAGCAGAGAAUUUGUUGAAUCAACAAUAAAUUCAAGAAUUAAAAGAUCUUUCAAAAAUUAAAGAUUUUUAUAAUCCUGGUUUAUUACCAGAAAUUUAUAAUUUUAUAAAUGAAAUAUGGAAAACCCAUGUUUCACAACAAAGAGCCAGUUUCCGUGGAGCUCUUACCAGAUUUUCAUUAUUUUUAGUUGAAAAAACAACUAAAGAGAAUGAAGCUGAAGAUUUAUUACUAAAAUCUAUUUUAUAUAGAGAAUGGGAUGAAUUCCAGCUAGAAUUCAUUGAUAUUAAGGAGAUAAACAAUCUUCUUGAUAUUAUUCAAUAUUUUAUUCAUAAAGGGAAAAACAAUUCUAUUAUGAAUAAAGUAUUUAGAAUAUGUAUGUAUAAUAAAGCUAGGAAAUUAUUACCAGUAGAAAUAUUCAAAAAAAUAAAUAAAGUAAUUUGCAGACAGCAAAACCAGUUUCAAAAAGCUUUUUCAGAAUAUUUUCUACANNNNNNNNNNNNNNNNNNNNNNNNNNNNNNNNNNNNNNNNNNNNNNNNNNNNNNNNNNNNNNNNNNNNNNNNNNNNNNNNNNNNNNNNNNNNNNNNNNNNAUUUAAUAUAACCAAUAUUGAAUGGAGUUUUACUAAAGAAAUAGUUGUGCAAAAUCUUUCUUUUCAUCUUUUAAAAGAUUUUCCAGCUAUUGUAAAAUCUGUUUUACAAAACAUCAUAAACAAUGAUGAUUUUUAUUACUAUUUUCAUAUUGAUAUUAGUAGUCUAAUUGGUAUAGCUGAACAAGAAAAAUUCUAUCAGCCGUAUCAAAUUUGGAUUAUUAAAAGGAUGAUUGGAACACCCCAAUUAUCUGCUGUAAAUGAAGAUAAAGAACAUUUGUCAAAAACAAUUGAUAAAUGUUAUAAUAAGUUUGAAGAUUAUCAAGUCCAAACAUGAUUAGAUUUAUUAUCACAAGCCCAUUAUCUUCUCUAUGAUGAAGUCUACAAACUCUGGACGGAUGGAAGAAGAAUUUUGACAUUUCCAAAUGGAAACAUCCAGGAGGAAAGAAAUGAAGAAUCUGUGAAGCUAUUAAAAAAGAUUGUUGAAAUGGAGAUAGAAGAAUUUCCAUCUCACAUUACAGAAAAAAUCAAAUACACAUGGGAGAUGUGGAACUCACCACCAAGACUCUCAUCAGAUUCUUUACAUUUGGAUGAGAUCGAAGAAAUGAAUCUCAACAACAUGCAAGAAGGUUGAAGUCAACAAAGACAGCAACUUGAUAAGAAGGAAAUCCACAUACCGACAACAAAGUUUGGCAACGUGGAUGUCAUCAUCAAACCCAUGAUGGAGACAAAAGAAGACAAUCCAUAUGCAGACAAACAAGUCUUGCAACGUGGAAGUUAUCAUCAAACCAAUGAUGAUGUAAGCAAUGAUGGAAGCUACCAUGACACAAGCAAGUGAUGGAAGCAGCCAUUAAUACAAGCAUGCAACGUGGAAACAACCAGGUCCAUGCAAUUAAAGUUACAAAAGAUGGAGACGUGGAAGCAACCACAUCCACAAAGUAGCCGAAUCCUUAUCAGAAACACUGUUCGGGAUUCAAAAUACAAUUGUAUAGAAUUUUUUAAUUUUCCUCUAUAAAUAGGGAGGAAAGCUCAAUUGUAUAGCAUCUUGUAAAUUCCGCAUUAUCUUUCUUUUAGUUUUCUCUCUUCUGUAAACAUUUUCCUUUUGUAAUAAAGAGUCUAUAAAUAGGGAGGAAAGCUCAAUUGUAUAGCAUCUUGUAAAUUCCGCAUUAUCUUUCUUUUAUUGCUAUUUUUAUAUCUCUUACAAUCAUAUUUGGAAGGAAAUAUCAAGAAGAAAAUCAGCUCAAUUUACUUAACCCGCCUAAGAAUUAAUGUUGAGCUUAGAUAAAUUAAGAACUAAAUUAAUCUUACAAAGUUAAUGAAUUAUGAAUACGAGUUGAAUAGUUUAAGGUAUGUUAGACAUUAUUUUUAGGAAUAUUUAUUUAUAUUUUAUAAGAUUUAACAAGUUUUUCUAUCAAUAUAUGACACUCGGAAUAAAUAUUUGAGUCCAAUUCUUAAGCAUGCAAAUUCAUCAUCUAAACUCCUAAUGAUGUACAAUGACUUGUAAAUAAGGGUGUCAAAGUUUUCUUUAAGUAACAAUUAAUCUACCUAUGAGAUUAGCUAGUUAAAUCGAUUUGUUUUCAUUUUUCAACUAGAAAGAUAAAGGUCUUUGUCACCUUAAAAAUGAAAAUUUGUGAUUUAAUCCCUCUGUAAAUGAUAAAUUAUAAAUUAAUAUAUGAUAAAAUUACAUUUUAAAUUUAAAAUGAAAAAAGAUCUAUUUAAUUCCUUUAAAAAUGAUGAAAUCUUAAGUUAAUACAUUAUAAAAAUUUAUAUUAACCUCUAAAAAAAUUAUAAUUCGAUUCUAACACCUAAUAAGUUUAACUAGAUAUGACCAUAUAUACCCCAACCAUUAAAUUGAUCUUUCACAAAUUCUCGUAGAUAAAAUAAUAUUGCAGAAACCAUAUUAACCAAUUAUUAUAAACACAAAUCAAGCAAAAGGAGUAGCUUAAGUUAAGACCCAUCAAAAACAACGUUUUGGAUCCAAUAGAGAGGAGUAAAAAUCCUCAACAAAAUAUACUAAAGAAAAAAUAAACAAUAGAGAGCUGUUUCUAUACAAGAGGAAAUGAAAAGACACAAGAGAGAAAAAAAAAAAAAAAGGAACCAAUCAAUCAUGGUGAUGAUGAAGAAGAGCUGAGGAUAAGAGUUGAUGGGAUAUUUCAUUAUCGUAUUGUAUGAUUAUUUUUUCCAUCUAUGGGUUUUUUUUUUUUUUAAAAAAACUUUGUUUUACGAAGUGAAAUUCGCUAUACUACAAAAUUCAUGCAUAGAUCUUUCACGUAGACAUGACUAAACAAAGGGUUUUCCUUGCAUAUAGGUACGAUUUUCGUUGUUUUUUUUGGGGGGAGGGCGGGGGGUUAAAAUCAAUCAUAUAAACAGUGGGAGCAAAGGAAAAUAUACUGAAUGACAGUAGCUAAUGGAUAGGCAGACAAGGUGCUGUUGCAGCAAACAAGUAAUGGGGUCAAUACCUAUAUGGGUGCUCUUUGUUGGCUCAAGUUUGGACAGUAAACAUAUACGUUUGUACAUGUAAAUUUUGGAAAUCUAUUAUUCUAUUUUUAGGUCAAUUGUAGCAUACAUCUACAAUAUUGAAUUGGUUUUCAAUUAUAUUUGAGUUUUUUUUUUUAAUUACAAGAGGAGGGCAAAGUCCUAACAGGAACACGUUUUGAACUCAGGCCAUGCUUGAGGUGAUGAACACUCUGAUCAUCAGGCCAACACACGGGAUAAGUUUUGAUGUUGAAUGUUAAUUUGAAUUUAACAUGAAUUAUAGGGUUUGAAUUUUGAUUAAUGAGGAGUCAACAAUGGGUAUUAAUAAUUGAUCUCUUAUGUUGUUGUGAUUCAUAUAUUUUAAAUAUGCUUCACAUUAAAUCAAAACUAAUAUUUAAUGACUGAGCUAACGAAAUGGCUUACUUGAUGUGAUCCUAAUAUUUUAAAGAUUCAAUUAAAACUUUUUACAAUUUAUGAACUAAUUUAAAAUAUGGAUCGCUAAUGUCUUCAUUAGAUGGAGAUAGAGUUCUAAGCUUCAGGUUUAUAAUAGAGUUUAUGUUCUGGGAUGAUCUCCGAUGUUUAAGUCAAUGGAAGAAUGACGAAGAAAGUUUGAAAUAAUGUUGUUAAGUGUAUAUGUAGUGGUAAACAUGUUUCUUCUUUAUCCUUGAGCCCCUAGCUGUGUCUAUAGUCAUUGUUCUUGAAGACAAACGAAGAUUAUAUUUAACUCUUUGUUGAAGAUUAUAAUUAGUUGAAGUAUGCGUCCUUAAUUCGAUAAGAUUAUAUUUUUAACUCUUUGUUGGGUACAUGCAACUUAGUCAUCACAUCGCACAUAUAUAUGCACUUGAGAGAUAUGGGGCCUUCCAAGCUAUUGUUUGUGAGAGCUCGAGGCUUUAGCUCUCGACUAAUAAAACUAAAGUUAUAAUUUGAGGAUCACCGAUGAAUUAAUCAUUUACUUUUUUCAAAUUUAUUAAAAUAUUAUUUUAUAAAAUAAUUAUUUCCAUCCAUUAUAUAUUGAUUUAAAUCAUGAGUUAAUGUCACCUUUGACCCAUAAACAAUGAUAAUCACACGAUUAAUUGUGAUAAUUACUUCUAUAAUUGUGAUGUAUAAACAUAAUGUGAUAUUCUUUAUGGCAAUUUAAAUUCCUAAGAUGAAGUGACAAAUGACAUAUUUCCAUAACAUAGAGAAAAAUACUGACGAUACAAUAUGCAAAUUCCAGUGGCAAACUUUGCAUCAAUUAUUAUAUGACUAUAUUUUUGGUACAAAUAUAAUUUAUAUUACAUUUUAAAAAAUUCACAGAAAUCCAAUUCUCAAUAUACGAUAAUGGUUUUUUUUUUUUUUAAAACCUAGAUUAUUCACUACAUGUAGUAAGGCUUAAUUUUUUUUACAGUAAAUAUUCUCCGAAUAAGUAAAUGAAUAAUCAUAAAAAUUGUGACGCUUUUAUUCCUUUAUUUAAUUAAAAUGGUAAUAUAAAUUUAGAUUAAGGAAUAACUUAUAAGGAUGAUCUUAAAAAUUAAGGUUUUUAGGUAUAAAUCAAAUUUUGUCAUAUCAUCAAAUUUUAAUAUUAUAUACACUCAUCUAUAGAACAAUUAUUUUAUGGACCAUUCUCAGUACCACAUUAUUCAUGGUCCAUUUUCAUUUAUUUAAUAACAUUUUAACAAUUUUUUCCAUGUCAUUGACACAUAAUUUUGGUAAUUUUUUACGUUGAAUCUAGAUUCUCGAACCCUAAACUCAAAACCUAGAACCUCAAAUCCUAAACUCGUAGCCCGUAACCUCAAACCUAAACCUUGAAUCUUGAGAUUUGGGGUUUAAGGUUUAAGGUUCAGGAUUCGAGUUAAGGUAAAAUAAUUUUCAAAAUUAUGUGUCAAUGACAUGGAAAAAAAUUACACAAAAAUUAUUAUUUUUUAAAAAAAUGGUUGCACAAAAAUAAAAAAUGUUAACUUAUGGAAAAAAUGAUUAAAUUUUGUAAAAAAAAUGUUUGUUUAUAAUUUAAAAAAUUAAUUAUUUUAAGUAAUUUAAUUAAAGUUAAAUUAAGUUGGAGAAGAUAUGGGAUAUAGAUAGUGUAUUACAAUAUUUUGUUAUCUUUAAAAUUUAAUGACGUGGUACUAUUUUAUUGGUGCCUAAAAACUAUGCUUUUUAGAAUAAUCCUAAUAUGAUUUAUCCCCGGUACAAUAUCAUAAACAAUAUAUGUAUGAUUAAUAAGUACAGUUACAGUUAUAACCCUAGUAUAAUUACAAUACAAAUUACAAAUAAUAUAUAACCAAUCAAUUUAAUGUAAAAUAUAAUAGACUAAAACCUAAAAUAUUAUCUAGAUUUAAACGAGAAUAAAUAUUAACAAAAUCUAGACAUAAUAAACUUAAAUCCAAAAUAAUCUAAAAAAAAAUCCGUAUCUCAAUUUCUACCAUAGUAUAAAAACUUUAUUAGGUUUUAAAAAAUUAAAUCAAUUAAUUUGCUAUUACUUAAAUAAGUUGAUUAUAUUAGUGUAAUGUAGUUUAGAUGUUGUCCAAUUAAUUAUGAAAGAACAAAUGUAACUUAGGAAAAAUUGUAAGUUUUGAAAAUCUUUGAGAUAUAUUCUCGAUUGGUAAAGGUGGAGAGUUGAAUCAUAAAACUAUGAUUUUAUAUUCUACUCCAUGAGGCCUUUACAACAGUAUAUCAUAUGCUCAAAAUGGUUGAGUGAUGAGAGAAAUUGAUAUUCAAAGCAAGCUACUUGUGAAUAUUUGUUGAGGAAAAGGAAAGCUUGGAUUCCACAUUGGUUAAAUACCAAGUUAAUAUGUGUGUAUAUAUGAGAAUCCACUUGAAAGGUGAUUGAAUGAUUAAACUUGAAACUUUACCUUGCGCGUAAAAAGGGUGCAAAUCUAAACACAUCGGAGUUAGGAUACAUCUGCACGACGUGGGCGACACAAAAUGUCCGAACUGAUCAAGCUAAUAUUGGGUUUUCGAAUAUUUUAGUUCAACAUGAAAUUUAUUUUUCUAAGCAAAUAUAUACAAAAUAUGAUUUAAAAUGACAAAUAUCCUAAUUUUAUUUGAUUUGAUUCCAAUCAAAUUGAUUUAAUUUCUCCUUUAAUACAUAUUUUGAUCUUUAUUUAUGGAUAUUUCCAAAAUUCCUCCAUAUUGAAUGCCUAUAAAAAUCUAAGAAUUCUUUAGAAUUUUUUGGACACACUCUCUCUCACACCAAGUUUAUUUUGCUCUCCAGAAUUCUUCUUUUUUCCUCUCCAUAUUUUCCAAUGUUUUCAGUGAUAGAAGAAGGCAAUGUUUGUUCAUUGAUCACCACCGAGGUACUACUGCUUUGAUCAUCGUCACUACACCAGAACAGGUUUUUAGUAGCGUUUUUUUAGGCCUUUAGCGGCGCUUUUUAACGCCACUAAAGGCAUUUGCGGCGCUUGAAGAAGCGCCACAAAAAAUGCCGCUAACGACAACGUCGCUAACUUUUGCGGCGCUUACAGAAAAAAAACGCCGCUAAAGAUCAUGUUCUUUAGCGGCGCUAAGGAAAAAAACGCCGCUAAAGAUCAUGAUCUUUAGCGGCGCUUACGAAAAAACGCCGCUAAAGAUCAUGUUCUUUAGUGGCGCUUGGGAAAAAACGCCGCUAAAGAUCAUGUUCUUUAGCGGCGCUUAGGAAGAAAACGCCGCUAAAAAUAAUGUUCUAUAGUGGCGCUUUGUCAAAAACGCCGCUAACAGUAGUGCUCUUUAGCAGCGCUUAUUUCACAAACACCACUAUUUGAUAUGACUUUUAGCGGCGCUUUUUUAAAAAACGCCACUAAUUUUGGGAUUUUUUUAAAAUAAAAUUUUCUGUUUUUUUCAGCCCUCCUGCAACAAAAAAUCAAAAGCAACCAGAUCUAAAUUAACCAAAAACAAUAAAUUUAUAUAAUAUUUCAAAUUAAAUGACUAAAAUAAUAUUAAUUGAUAUAAAUAAAAGUGAAUUCAUACUUUUCUUUUCAAAAACGUUAAAAGUUAAAAUGAUAAAAAUAUUUAUGCAAUAUACACUAUGACGGCGGAAGUUGCGACUGCUGAAACAUCUUCAUCAUAAUCUGAAGCUGCUGUUGAAGUUCGUCGUACUUUUUGCUCUGCUCUGCUUCUCUUGAUGCCGCAUCUUUUUGAAGUCGUAGCUGUAGUUCUUCAUAUUUCUUUUGAACCUCUGCUUCUACCGCUGUUUCUCUCGCUGCUUCUCUCGCUGUAACCUCUGCUUCCCUCGCUGCCGCCACUGCUUUAAGUUGUUGCUAAAGUUCUUUAUAUUUCCUUUGAACCUCAAAUGUGGUCGCUUGCAUCUGAGCCAUCUGGUCUUUUAACCUCUGAACUUCAGCUUGAGAUUGACUCCCCGAAGCCAUGUAUUGGUGCGAGCUGGAUCCAAAAUAUUAGGUUGGGCUGAUAAAAGAUCCUUGAAAUCGAACCCGACCAUACUUUUUAGGACCCAAAACUUCAGUAAUGAUCCGGUUAUCAAUGUCUUCAAGAUGAACAGAACUAUCACUAGAAGCAAUCGCUUCGUACUCCGUCUUUUUUUCCUUUAGUUUUUCCUAAUAAAUAAAUCACAUAGUUAGGAACGCAAUAUAUAUUAAAAAAACAAAUGCAAUAUAACAAUAGUCGCAUUACAAGCAAUAAAUUAAACCAUUAUAAAAUAAGCACUAUAAAUAACUAAAACAAGUUAAAUCGUAUUAAGUAAACGUACCAUAAUUUCACCAGCUUCAGGAGUCAUAACAGAUCCAUCUUUCUUCUUAUGUGUAAUUUCAAAAAGUUGAAGGCNNNNNNNNNNNNNNNNNNNNNNNNNNNNNNNNNNNNNNNNNNNNNNNNNNNNNNNNNNNNNNNNNNNNNNNNNNNNNNNNNNNNNNNNNNNNNNNNNNNNNNNNNNNNNNNNNNNNNNNNNNNNNNNNNNNNNNNNNNNNNNNNNNNNNNNNNNNNNNNNNNNNNNNNNNNNNNNNNNNNNNNNNNNNNNNNNNNNNNNNNNNNNNNNNNNNNNNNNNNNNNNNNNNNNNNNNNNNNNNNNNNNNNNNNNNNNNNNNNNNNNNNNNNNNNNNNNNNNNNNNNNNNNNNNNNNNNNNNNNNNNNNNNNNNNNNNNNNNNNNNNNNNNNNNNNNNNNNNNNNNNNNNNNNNNNNNNNNNNNNNNNNNNNNNNNNNNNNNNNNNNNNNNNNUUCUUCAAAGUACUUUUAUUGUCUCUCCAUCUUUUUCCCAAUGCCUUCUUUACAUAAGCAUCCGAGACCUCUAAAGCAAACCUCGCCUACAAAAAACACAAGUUAAUAAAGUACAUAUAAAUGAAACUAUUUCCCAAGCAUUACAGAUGACAUUAAUAAAAUUUGUUACCUUAAUAUUAUCGAGGGCUUGGUUUUUGUUGCUAUCGGGCAUUUGACGCCAUGACUCGUAGUUGAUAGGCAACAUAUUCGCAUUUCGUGCUAAAAUGCCCAUGUAUCCUGCUAAAAGUCGAGCUUCUGAUCCAACAGGCUGACCAAAACUGUUUCUGCAUACCUUGACACGCUCGACUAGAUCUAACUCGUAUAACUCUCUAAGUAGCGUACGUCCUCGACCUCUGCGCGUCCCACCAUUUUCAGCUACAAAUGGUAUAUUAUAAAAUAAAAAUUUGAAGAAUAAAUCAAUUAUAAGUCAACACGCAUGUAAAUUAAAUGUAAAAUUACUUUGAACUUCCGUAGGAUCCUCAGGUGUAAUCGGAACAUUCGGAGAUCCAAUUGCUGUCCGUUGUUCAGUACUAUUUGUUUCUGUCGNNNNNNNNNNNNNNNNNNNNNNNNNNNNNNNNNNNNNNNNNNNNNNNNNNNNNNNNNNNNNNNNNNNNNNNNNNNNNNNNNNNNNNNNNNNNNNNNNNNNUUUCCCUUAUAAUUUUUCUUCUAGGCAUUUUAUCUGCAAUACACAUAAAAUGUAAUUAAACUUAAUAACUAAUUACAACAAUAACAGCACAUAUAAAAUAGUUGAAAUAUAUAAUAAGACCAAGAUUUAAUACUAAUAUAAGUUACAUAUAAUUAAACAAUCGUAAAAUCUUACUACAUCAUUAUUCGUAAAUAUCUUCAUCCGUAUCCUGAAGAACCCAUUGAAAUUGUGCACUAGUACUAGGGAUAUUAUCGUUUAAGUUUUGUCUUGGAAAUGGCAAAGUUUCUGAUCUGUCGUCAAUGUUAUCUCUACUUCCACUGCCCAUGUCAAACAAGUCUCUAGAGAUGUUACGGAGUACAACGUACCAACCCUCAUUAGUUGGAUCUUUUGAGUAAAAAACUUGUUUGACUUGAGAUGAGAAUACAUACGGCUCAUCUAUCAGUUGUUGUCCAGUGUGAAUUAAUCGGUCAAAGUUCACCAUUGUAAAACCAAAUUGAUCUUGCUUGAUUCCACGAGCUGUAUUAACAUCGGCCCAAUCACCUCGAAAUAAGACAACUUUCCAUUUGCCGUAGAAAUCCAACUCAAUUAUGUCAGUAAGAUGUCCGAAAUAUUCCACAUUUCCCUCGACAGGAUUAUUGUCCCUAGCACUAGCAUAACUUAUAAUUGUAGAAUUAACAACUAUUCCACAAUUUUGCGUUCUCCUCAACCUCUCGCAAUAUUUUGUAUGAAAUCUGAAUCCGUUGAUGAGGAACGCACUAUAUCUUUUAACCACUCGAUUUGGACCUUGGGAGAGCCAUUUAACUUCGUCGUCUACGUUCUUCCCACUCCAAACCUAUUGAAUGGAAAGUAAACUGAGUAAUUAAAAAUGUUAUGCGAAAACAUUAUUAUUUGUAAGCGGAAGCUCCAACUGCAUACCGUUUGGCUUAACCAUUCAUAAAAAGAUUCUGUAAACAACUUAUUGAUAUCUCGAUGUUGUGUUCUUCCGGAGCGCGAACGAGAUCUCAAUAUUUGUUUGUACUCACUGUGUUAAAAAAUGUUCACUUUGUUAGAAGAUAAACAAUUAUUAGUUUGAUAAAUAUUUAUCAAAUUUGUAGAACUUACUUCCGUAAAGGUUCCAAUGAUUCAUGGUGAAACAGAACAUAUCGAUGUGCUUGUACCCACGAUAAAUGAUCUAAUUCUGCAAUUUCAACUUUACCGAUUGGUUCUCCAAAACUUUGGAACAAAUAAGUAUCGGCUAAGUUAUGGUCUGCGAGUCCAGCAUUCCUAUUUGGUCUGUUCAACCUUGUUUCAACAUCUUCCAAAUAUCUUGAGUAGAAGGUCAUACAUUUCUCUGCCAAGUAGCCUUCAGCAAUUGAUCCUUUUGGAUAUCACUUGUUGCGGUAGUAAGACUUUAAUUUGGAUAGGAACCUAAACACAAUAUACAACAUUAUCAAAAGAUGUAACUAAAGGCAUAGAGGUGAAUGAAGGAAAAUUUUAAAAAUUUUAACUAACACCUUUCUAUGGGAUACAUCCAUCGAUAGAAAACGGGUCCGCCAAGAAUUGCUUCGUGCAGGAGAUGGAUUAUCAAGUGAACUAUAAUGGUGAAGAAUGAAGGUGUGAAGAUUUUCUCCAUGUUGCAUAAAGUCAAAGCGGCUCGAUCCUGUACCUUCUGAAGUUCUUGAACAUCCAAAACUUUGCCACAAUGGCUUUCAUUAUAUUGAUAGUUCAAUUAUACAAGACGUCACCUUCUUGGACAUACAGAUCGUAGAGCAACUGGCAGUAAAUCUUGCAUCAAGAUGUGAUAGUCAUGUGAUUUUAGCGAAUAUAAUCUUCGAUCUUUAACACUAACACAUCAAGAUAUAUUUGAUGCAUACGCAUCUGGAACCUUNNNNNNNNNNNNNNNNNNNNNNNNNNNNNNNNNNNNNNNNNNNNNNNNNNNNNNNNNNNNNNNNNNNNNNNNNNNNNNNNNNNNNNNNNNNNNNNNNNNNAUGCAAAACAGUUCUUUCACCGUCUUGGACAUUGAGAAAAUAGAAGGUGGCAACCGAUAUUUCCCAUUCGGAAGUGGAUUGGGAUGAAGAUCAGGCCAAAUUCCCAUUUGGACUAAAUCAAGUCGACUCUGAAGAUUGUCUUUUGAUUUUCCGUCGACAUUCAAAAUUGUACCCACAAUGUUCUCGCAGACAUUUUUCUCAAUGUGCAUAACAUCAAGAUUGUGUCGUAAAAGGUGAUGCUCCCAAUAAGGCAACUCAAAAAAAUACUUCUUUUUUUCCACAAGUCCGCCUCAUUAGGAUCAUCAUCUUCAUCAGAGUCAUCAUCAGCUUCAUCAUUUGAUCUUCUAUUUCUUUGUGUGCUUGGCGGUUGGUUCAUCUUCCCAUAAAUGAAAUUCAUAUCUUCCAACAUGAACAAGAUUUCAGAGCCACUGGUCUGCAAAAGAGCUUCUCUGAACUCUUCAGUACUGUCCAAUACGGAACUCUGAAAUCUAAAUCUAUGAUUUUUCGGUAACCACCGACGAUGCCCCAUGUAAGAGAACUUCUUCCCAUUGUACAACCAUUGCGAACAUGUUUGUGCAGCACAACAAGGACACCCAUAACGACCCUUGGUACUCCAACCGGAUAAAUUGGCAUAAGCGGGAAAGUCAUUAAUGGUCCACAUCAAAGCUGUACGUAAAUUAAAGUUCUCCUUUCUCAGCACAUCGUAUGUCUCGACACCAGCCAUAAUUGUUUUAACUCUUCAAUAAGUGGCUGUAAAUAAAUGUCGAUAUCAUUCCCGAGCCCUUUCUCUCCAGGGAUAAUCAUAGAUAAGAUAAGGGAAAAUUGCUUCAUGCAAAUCCACCGAGGCAGAUUGUAAGGAACAAGCACUACUGGCCAAGUACUGUACGCAGUGCUCAUGAUCUUGAAAGGAUUAAAUCCAUCAGAUGCUAGCCCAAGCCUCACACUCCUAUGAUCGCUUGCAAAGCCUGGAAAUUUAUUGUCAAAUGAUUUCCAAGCUAAAGAAUCUGCCGGAUGCCUUAGUAAGUCAUCAUCGGUUCGUCCAUCAUGGUGCCACGUCAUUGAUUCUGCUGUCUUCGACGACAUGAAAAGCCUUUGAAGCCGUGGCAUCAUUUUCAUCGUCGUUCCCAUCUUCUGUGUUUCUACUAAUCCAACGGGAUUGGCCGCAUACAUGACAGCACUGUUGGUUUUUUCGAUCGCCCCAAUACAAUAUGCAGUCAUUUGGGCAACUAUGGAUUUUGUUGUACCCAAAGCCUAAAUCUUUUAUUAUUUUCUUCAUAUCUUUGCAUGACUGAGGGAUUUUUGCAAACAGAAACAUUUCUCUCAAAAACUCUAACAGCAUUGUCAACGAGUUUUCGGUCCAUCCUCCCAAACAUUUUAACUAAAAAAGACGAACACAGAAUGACAUUUUUGAAAAUUUUGAGCCCUCAUACAGUUCUUCGUUCAUGUCAUUAAGUAGCGCGUAGAACUUCGCCGCUUCUCCAUUUGGCUCUUCAUGAGGUACACUACUGGCCGGUUCGGUAAAUGCAGUUCCACUAAUAUUACAAUCAUCAGAUGCCACAAAAUCCGCUGGGAACGACUGCACACCAUGAUUAUGCAUAUUAAAUGCAUCUCGCAACAUACCUUCCAUGUCAUCCCCUCUUUCAGACUGAUGGUAUUUAGCAGUACCAGGAUAAGAUACAUCCAUCCUUGAAGAGGAAGUACUAGGCGAGCAUUCUCCAUGAAAAAAUCAUUGCUUAUAACCCCAAACAAACCCAUCAACAAUUAGAUGCUCGUAUACAACCUCACGAUAAUGCCAGUUUAUGUUGACACACUUCUUACACGGGCAAAGAAUCAUGUUCUCUUGGCUUGCAUAUUGAAAUGCAAAAUUUAGAAAAGUCUCAACUCCGUUUCGAUAACCGUUGCUUACCCUUGACAAAUUCAUCCAAGAUCGGUCCAUAUCUUAAUUCUUGAAGUCUGACAUUGACAAUAAAUUGCACGGGUAAGUUAUGUAUUAUGUAAGCUAUGUAAGUUGUGUAUUAUGUAAGUUAUUAUUAUGUAAGUUAUGUAAGUAAUGUAUUAUGUAAGUUGUGUAUAAUGUUAGUUAUCAAAGUUAUGUAUUAUGUAAGUUAUUUAAGUUAUGUAAGUUGUGUAUUAUGUAAGUUAUGUAGGCUAUGUAUGUUAAAUAAGUAAUGUAUUAUGUAAGUUGUGUAUAAUCAGCUUCAUCAAAGUUAGGUAUUAUGUAAGUUAUUUGUGUUAUGUAAGUUGUGUAUUAUGUAAGUUAUGUAGGCUAUGUAUGUUAAGUAAGUAAUGUAUUAUGUAAGUUGUGUAUAAUGUUAGUUAUCAAAGUUAUGUGUUAUGUAAGUUAUUUAAGUUAUGUAAGUUGUGUAUUAUGUAAGUUAUGUAGGCUAUGUAUGUUAAGUAAGUAAUGUAUUAUGUAAGUUGUGUAUAAUGUUAGUUAUCAAAGUUAUGUAUUAUGUAAGUUAUUUAAGUUAUGUAAGUUGUGUAUUAUGUAAGUUAUGUAGGCUAUGUAUUAUGUAAGUUAUUAUGUUAUUAUGUAAUAAGUUUAUAUAUAAGUUUAUAUUAUGUAAGUAUUUCACUUUUAUGUAUCUUAUUUAUAAUUAUUUUUAAAAUUAUAAAAUUCAUUACUAAUAAAAUUGAAAUGUAGGAUAUUUUUUUUUGAAAGAAAACCCGAAGGUUAAAACUUUAUUUAAUCGCAUCAUUAAGAACAAUAUCGUGGAUUUCCGUCGGAAAAUCCAUGUUAAAGUCCAUACAGCUCUUGUUAAGGUUUGCCCAUUUACACAGGGCAUCAGCAACUCUGUUACAACACCUUGGGACCCAUUUAACCGUAAAGAAAUUGAAACCAACUAUGAACUUCCGAAUUUCUUUCAACUGGUGGCCCAUCAAGGUCAAGUCCUCCUUACUGCUGUUGAAACGGUUAACAAUACUUGCGCAAUCUGACUCAAUCGCCACGCACUUCCAGUUUUUGGAACAGGUGUAAUUGAUACUCACUUCCAUGACAUGCGUCUCCGCCCACUCAAUACUUGAAACAUUGUUAGACAUGCCCACACGCCCCCUAAGAAUGAAACCAUCUGUAUCCCUUUCCACCAGACCGUACAACCCCGUAUUCUCAUGGAUAGUAGCAUCGAAAUUAAUCUUGAUAACUCCUGACUCAGGUUUCUGCCAAUCCCUUUCCACAAUAGGCUUAGGUAUCAUCGGCCUGUCCAACAGAUUAAAGAUACGAAAGUCCCUAUUUAAAGCCGCAGCCCUGUCCCAUGUCACCUUGGCAUCCUCCUCUAUAUUACGAAAAACUUUGAUGUUUCUACUAUUCCAAAUAUUCCAGAUGGUAGAAAUAAAAUCCGACAUAGCCUUCUUGUCCAUCACGCGGGCAGCAUCCUCGAUCCAGUUCACGCGCCGGUCAUAAGUACCCUCGAACAGCUUUUGAUUUGACCCCCCAUAGCGCAGCACUGCCCUGGCACUAGGGCACUCUCUCAAAGCGUGAACAAGGGUUUCCCUCUCAACACCACAUCUCGGGCACAUACUGUUGAAAUCCCUCCGGAUUCGAGAGAUAUUCUCAUAAGUAGGUAGAAUGUCAUGCCCCAGGCGCCAGCAGAAAAGCUUAAUUUUUGGCAAGGUUUGCAGUUUCCAAGUAAGGUUCCAGAAAAAACAGUAGGGAUCGUAGCCCACAUUCUUCAAAGUCAUCCAGGAGUAAGCUGACUUGGUAGAGUAAAAACCCUGGGGAUUAUGAAACCAUAUACGUAAAUCAUCCGGGCCAUUAGGAAGAAAGGGAAUUUUACCAAUAUAGUCCCCCAUAUUCUCCCCAUAGAUCACCUUCACUCUACAUUCGUUCCAUCCAUAUUUGUUACUGUUCAAAAGAUCACACACCUUAUUCUCCUGAACCUCCCUUUUAUCGAUACGGAUGGAAUCACCGGAUAAGCCUUCGAAACCCCAGUUAUCCUUCCAAAUGUCAAUAUUGCAGCCAUUCCCCACCCUCCAUCCAAAGCCCUCCUGAAGCCAAGUGAUCGCCUUUUGGAUACUCCGCCAAGUAAAAAAGGGUUUGUCGACCCACUUUGAAUGAAAUACGUCGCCAUCUGGGAAGUACUUAGCCCUUAAAACUUUGUAACAAAGCGAGUCUUUACACCUCAUAAGCCGCCACACCUGUCUGCCUAAUAAAGCAACGUUAAAACGCCUAAGAUCUCUGAAGCCCAGUCCUCCCAUACCCUUCGGAAGGCACAUCCUUUCCCAGGCCAGCAUAUUCCACCCCCUAUUAUUAUCCUUACCCCCCCACCACACCCUCCGGAUCAAGGACUGAAUCUUAUUAAUGACACCGUCCGGGAUAAAGAAAACCGAGAAGGCAUAGGUCGGGAUCGACUGUAGAAUAAAGAUUUCCUUACCACCAUUAGAUAAGAGUCUCUUAGACCAGCUGUUAAUCCUAUUGGCGACACGAUCAAUAAUAUUCUGAAAGACCAUCGAUUUUUUCUUACCCACCGGGAUAGGCAGACCAAGAUAACCAUCAAAAUUAUCCACCAUCUUCAUUUUCAGCAAUCUGCUUAAGGUUUCGCGAUUCACGUUCGGGGUGUUAGGGCUGAAAUAGAUCAUCGACUUGUCUAAAUUGAUACUUUGGCCCGACCUCUUUUCGAAAGUUUCCAGAAUCUUCAUGACAGCCUUUGCUUUAUGCUUUGAAUUCCUAACAAAUAAUAAAGCAUCAUCAGCAAAGAAAAUAUGAUUAAUACUCGGGCCAUUCUUACUAGCCUUAAUGCCUUUAAUACUCUUAGUCUCUUGAGCAUGGGUUAACAUGCGAGACAAGGCAUCCAUGCAAAAAAGAAACAAGUACGGGAAAAGGGGAUCUCCUUGUCUAAGACCCCUUUUCGGGACAAUAAGCUCAGAGAGGGUCAUAUUGCAUUUAACUCUAUAUCGAAUAGUACAGACACAGUCCAUAAUAAUAUGCACCCACUCAUGAGCAAAACCCAUUUUCAGCAUCACAUUUUUAAGAAAGUCCCAAUCCACCCUGUCGUAGACUUUGCUCAUGUCGAGCUUAACCACA